Molecule: long non-coding RNA, 1983 nt
Organism: Ahaetulla prasina
Lineage: Eukaryota; Metazoa; Chordata; Lepidosauria; Squamata; Colubridae
Exons: 4
Source: RefSeq, a predicted model, not a curated record
GCAGCGACGGGGAUUGUUUGUGGGCCUCAUGCUGCCCCUGUGCUUGCCUGCCUGGCCUGGCUAAGCCACCUAGCUAACCACCCACCUUUCCCCCAGCCUCCAGCUUGCUUACCUUCACUCUUUAGACCGAAUCCCCAGCCUCUGGUCGCAACGCCUGCCUUGCUUUGCUUGCUGCAAUCCCGGCAAUCAAUUGCAUCAGCUAGCAACUGAAUCUGCCUGACUGCAAUCAAUCUCAUAGGUAAGCAGCUGAAUCUGCCUGCCUUGUGCCUUCAAUUGGUAGCUGCCACCUUUAACAGGAAGGAUUAAAAGGCAACCAUUUUGAUGGGUUUCUUGGCCAAGCAUUAUGCUUGGGAGAAAAUCUGGAGUGAGCACCAGAAUAGCACAAGAGUUUCCAAAAAUCAUCAUAUGGCACUGCUUGAACCAUCGUCUCCAACUUGUUUUAGAUGACGCCAUAAAGGAAAUAAAGCAAGUAAAUCAUUUAAAAAUAUUUAUUGAUAAGAUAUGCUCCAUUUUCUAGCAAUGCAAUAAAAACCGAAUAGAACUUGACGAAAUAUCUGAAGAACUUGUAAUUAACAUCAUAAGGAUUGGUUGAGUUUUUGGGCCAAGAUGGGCUGCCUAUAGUUUACGGGCAACCAUAGCUGUGUGGCGUGCUUAUCCUGUGCUACAAUAAUAUUUUCAUGCAAAUGCAAAAUACUCAGGUAUGGCUGCCCAUCUGGAAAAUAAACAUUUCUUAAAUGAUUUGGCGUUGAUGAUAGACAUUUUGAAAGAAAUUUCACUUCUUUCAGCUGUGUUGCAAGCAUGCAAUAUGGAUAUAAUAAAGGCUGAAAAACUGGUGAGAAGAUCAAUAAAAGCAUUUGAACUGCUAACAAAGUGAAAGGGCCCAUACGAAAGAAAAGUUGGGCAAAUUCCUCAGAAACCUUCAGGAAUAUAAAACUCAUAGAAAUUCAUUGAUUUGUUGGUCUUCAUCGAGAAAGACUUUUAGAAAGUUUCAUAAAAAUUUGCACAAACGACUGAUGGACUGUGAACAUUUAAAAACUGGUAGCCAAUUGCAAGACACCACAAAUAAACUACAGUUUCUACAGUUUUUGGUGCCAGAGUACUGGGACUUUGAGGAAAUAGUUGUUCCAUGGACAGCAGCUGAAGAACAACUGCGCACAUUUGGUGACAUUUUCAAUUACCACAUUGAAAUCAACGACUCUAAAGAUUUUGUGGAGAAUGUGUUAAAAGAUCUGAAGAGGAUUAAAAAAGCAAAAGAUAUUGUCUUUUGCAGCAAGUUCUGCAGAAGCGGAAUGGGGUUUUUCGAAAAUGAACUUGAUAUGUUCAGAGAGUAGAAGUCACCUAGCCGUUUCCAAUUUAACCAGCCUCAUGACCAUCAGCAUUACUGGGCCACCUCUUCCCAAAUGGGACCCUAUUCCUGUAGUGAAAAAGUAGUUCAGAGAACACCAUCGCUCAGCCAAUGAUCCGCGCGCAUCAAGUGUAAGAAAAGUGGAAGUGAUGCCACUGAAAUAACUAUGUGGAAACAUCUUAAAGCUGAAGACAACUAACCGGUUUAUGUCAUUAUUAUCAUUGGUGCAAGAAACGACGUUGAAGACAACACUUUUAUUGCUCUUAGGUUCUUGUUCAGUGUAUUCAGAUGAUGAGUAAGAUCAACUAAAAAUGCCAGGUCUGCCAGCCACAGAGGGUCACUCAGUUCAUGAAGAGGUCGGUCCUUCUCUUUCAAAAAAUUGUCGAUUUCUGAUCUCAGCGAAUAAAACCGCUGCAGCACAGAGCCGCGGCUGAGCCAGCGCACAUCAGAGUGGUAGAGUACAUCCCCGUAUUCAGCAUCCACGUCAGAUAAGAAAGCUUGAAAUUCCCUGUGGUACAGUCCUCUAGCUCGAAUUAUGUUGACAGUUUUUACAACAGUGUUCAUCACAUUGCCCAGCUGCACAGUCUUGGCACACAGUGCUUCUUGGUGGAUUAUACAGUGCAUCCUAACAGCCUCAC